GACGAACGCUGGCGGCGUGCUUAACACAUGCAAGUCGAACGGUGAAGGGGUCUGCUUGUGUGGGCCCUGGAUGAGUGGCGAACGCGUGAGUAACACGUGAGUAACCUGCCCCCGUCUUCUGGAUAACCGCAUGAAAGGGUGGCGAAUACGGGUUAUUCUGGAUCUGUAGUAUGACGGGUUUGGGAAAGAUAGGGCCCAAGGGCGUUAUUGGUGGGGGGUGGGCUGGCGGCUUAGCUGCUUGUGGGGGGGGCGGUGGACUGCCACGGCGGUGACGGGUCGACGGCCGGGGAGCGGGGACGGUGGCACUGGGACUGGGCCCCGGCCCAGACUCCUACGGGCGGCAGCGGUGGGGAAGAUUGCACAGUGGGCGCGAGCCUGAUGCAGCGACGCCGCGUGAGAGAUGGACGCCUUCGGGAUGUAAGCCUCUUUCGCCAGUGAAGCAGGCCUGCUGCUUGUGGGUGGGUUGACGGUAGCUGGAUAAGAAGCGCCGGCUAACUACGUG
Molecule: ribosomal RNA, 502 nt
Filed under: uncultured bacterium
Lineage: Bacteria
Description: partial 16S ribosomal RNA
Rfam family: Bacterial small subunit ribosomal RNA
Source: RNAcentral